RNAcentral lists this long non-coding RNA (546 nucleotides) under Carica papaya (papaya). Its description in RNAcentral is "long non-coding RNA (CPAP_LNC011127)". Lineage: Eukaryota; Viridiplantae; Streptophyta; Magnoliopsida; Brassicales; Caricaceae. The record is from RNAcentral.
UUGGAGAAGAUUGCGAUAAGGAUGCGUAGGUUGAGAGAUGAAUAUAUGCAGAAUCUGAUCGAUGAGAUUCGAUUGAAGGGAAGAAGUUCUUCUUUGAAAGACGAGAUUUCAGUGAUUGAAAUCCUCUUGUCACUUCAAGAUUCUGACCCUGAAUUUUACACAGACGAUAUCAUAAAAAGCGUCUUGCUGGUAACCACAUCAAUAUAUGUGUGUGUGUGUGUGCAUACAUAUAUAUAUAUAAUAAUCUUACUUAGUUCUAUCAAAUGGCAGAUCAUUUCGCUUAACAAUUUCACUUUCUAUAUUCAGAUGCUGUUCAAUGGAGGAACAGACACAUCAGGGAUCACCAUGGAAUGGGCAAUGUCACUGCUUCUAAAUAACCCAGAAGCCAUGAACAAAUUAAGAUCCGAGAUCGACAAAAACGUCGGACAUGGCCGUCUAAUAAACGACUCUGAUCUCCCAAAACUCCAUUACCUCCGAUGUGUUAUACACGAGACUCUUAGAUUAUACCCCGCCACGCCGCUUUUGCUCCCUCACUUGUCAAACGCC